AUUUGUUUUUGGUCGGCUGAUCGCAUAUCGCACAAGUGGACAUGACCCCUUUUAAUUUAUUCGAACUGAGCAGAAAAGAGUUUAGAUUAUAUACACGGCACCAAAGCAUGAACCACUCAGAAGAAUAUCGCAAUGUACAUAUAUCACUAAAAUAAAUUCAUCCAAAAAUAGACGUUUGAAGGUUGAUGUUUAGAAGAGAAAUGUGUGGUGCCCAACAAUGAGACAUGAACACAGACACAACAGCACAAAUAUAGGGUCGGGGUAUUAACAUAUAUAACUAUGUACAUGUACACAUGUGAAUAGAGAUGGGUGCGUGUGAAAUAGUUGUGUUUAUGAGCUAGGGCUACCUGUCCUUUUAAAUAAAAUUUCAGUUUAAAGAUGCCUACCCACAAUGUAUUUAAUAUUCAAGAAAAUUUGUUUUUCAACCAGAUCAAUUUUUCACUGCCGGAAGUAAAUUACUGCUCAGAUUAAAAAAAAUUAAAAGACAACAAGUUAGGAAGAGCUGAGUUCGCAAUUUGCAAGGCUCAAAGCCGGGGGAAUUACCAUCAAUGUGUGAAGGAUGUUAGAUAAACAUCAAAGAAUUUAUGCCUGCUAUGAAAAUAGUGUUGAAAAAUUUGAAUGACGAACUGUGUCGUUACUUCUCAGUGCAAGAAAUACGAACACUGGACAAAUCCGUUUUUGAAUGCAGCUAUACACGUGGCAAAUUCGACAAUUAAGCUCAAAGAAAAUCUGCUUGACUUAUCUGCCGAUGGAAUGCUGCAAUUUGGAUACCUUUUGGUUUAAAAGGAAAUACCCAGAGUUAACCACAGAGACUUUGAAGUGUUUGAUUCCAUUUGCUACUUUAUACUUGUGCGAGCUAACAUUUUCUUCCAUGGCCCAAAUUAAAAGUAAGGAAAGAAAUCGUUUGAAUUUGGAAAACGAUUUAAUUCUCAAAGUAGCAAGAACAGAUCCACUUUGGUAGAAAUUGGUCAACGCAAAACAAGCACAACUUUCCCAUUAAGAGUAAACUCAUUGGUUCAUUUUUGUUUUUUGUUUUUAAUCUUAUUGAAUUGUAUAAGAUGGAAGAGAUCUCAAUAUUUUAGUCUUUGUUAAUUAGAUACAAAUAAUAAUGUUUUGUAGUGACCCCCCAUUGGGUCGCGACCCACGCGUUAAAGAACGCUGUUAUAGAUCAUAUAUUCUGGAGAGGAUCGAAACCACCAAAAAUUCAUUCCCCAAACACAAAAUCCCCAAAAUAAAAAAUUCCCAAAAUUAAAAAAGGAGUUCUAAGCGAAAAACUUAUGAUACCUGGUGUUGGAUCAUGGCCAGAGACCGCCAGUGCGAAAAGGAGUGUUUUGGCGAAAAUUAUAUUAACAUCGUCCUCAAAUGAGAUAUAUGUGAUAUGAAUCAACCGAAGAGGCUAAAUUUAAUAUUGUAGCGGGUUUCUCGAUAAAUAGUCUACAUUGUAACUCACUCUUGAGUACGAUCACUUGAUUGUUAAAUAAAAGUCCCAAUUUAAUGGCUAUA
Long non-coding RNA from Bactrocera oleae (olive fruit fly), 1503 nucleotides. RefSeq lists it as uncharacterized. Lineage: Eukaryota; Metazoa; Arthropoda; Insecta; Diptera; Tephritidae. The record is from RefSeq and is a predicted model, not a curated record.